GUGGUUGUGGAUCAGUGGUAGAGCACUCGCCUACCAUGUGUGAGGCACUGGGUUCAAUCCUCAGCACCACA
RNAcentral lists this transfer RNA (71 nucleotides) under Marmota monax (woodchuck). It matches the Rfam family "tRNA". Rfam says of the family: Transfer RNA (tRNA) molecules are approximately 80 nucleotides in length. Their secondary structure includes four short double-helical elements and three loops (D, anti-codon, and T loops). Lineage: Eukaryota; Metazoa; Chordata; Mammalia; Rodentia; Sciuridae. The record is from Rfam by way of RNAcentral.